Molecule: long non-coding RNA, 4601 nt
Organism: Taeniopygia guttata (zebra finch)
Lineage: Eukaryota; Metazoa; Chordata; Aves; Passeriformes; Estrildidae
Source: Ensembl
CGGAAGCAUGUUACUCCCAUGUAUUUGUUUAUUUUCAUUACCAAAAAUAUUCGUACAGCGGCAGAAUUUGAUUUCUAAACUUCUGUGUGUUCCAGCUGUUUGUUCCCAGCUAGAGCUUAAGACAUCCACUCCGCGGGUGGGGAUCAGUGCCUGAGCUCCAGGGAACCAGCUGCAGCAGGGCCCAGAGAACUAACGCCCGUGGCCCGUGGUUACGGCACAAGAAGGUGCAGGAGUUGGCUGGCUGAGAAGAUGCUGACCCUGUUGGACCGCAAGCUUCUACAGCAGCUCAUCCUUCCAGUGCAGGAAUCACAGGCUCUGCUGGAGCCCAUGCAGGGUUUGUCCAGUGCAAGUCAUUAGUCUCAGAAAUAUGGGGUGAAUUCCCACUUUUUCAGGAUGCGAACAACAGAGGCAGGUUUGGAGGAAAUGUCUUCCAUCAGAAGUGUCUGUCCUUUGCUUUCAUCACUUACAGUCAAAGCAUGAAAGCUCAUUAGGCGUGAUUUGGCUAUUUCCUGUUCAGGCUGUCAACUAAAGAGGCAGCAGAGCAGCAUUGCUGGAGCAUGUGGUGGUCUCAUUAUCUCAGUGAGGGAAACACUCUGCAACAGAACCCUCACCCCCUCCUUGCUCAUGGUGUUUAAACUAAAUGGUUUUAAAUGAAAAGAGGGUCAGUUUAGGUUAGAUAUCAGAAAGAAGUUUUCUGCAGUGAGGGUGGCACAAGAUGCCCAGAAGAGCUGUGCUUGCCCUAUUCCUGGAGAUGUUCAAGGUGAGGUUGGAUGGAGCUUUGAGCAACCUGGUCUAGUGAAAGGUGUCCCUGCCCAUGGCAGGGGGCUCGAAGAAGAUGACCUCUAAAGUUUCCUUCUAACCCAAACCAUUCUGUUACAUUGGUAUUGCAUAAGUUACUGACAGCUUCAUCUGCUGGACCACCAUCACUGCACCUCCAGGUUUGGGGUGUCCCUGACACCUGUCUCCACUCACAGUCUUGCCAGACCCCAGGACGCGGCUUUACUCAUGAUUCCCACCCUGGGCCCAAGGUGCUGCAGAGCUCUGCUCUCAGUUUCUCACUUGCAAUACUCUUCGUGCCAAUGUUGAUUGCAGAUUCUUUACCAUGUGUGUGCACAUCCUUCUUUAGACCACAACUGGAAAAACUGUGGGGUGGUUCCUGCUCAGGGUCUCCUUAACUGCAAACCCACAAACUGCUUCCAUUUCUCUUGGUACCUUCUUCAAAAGCACAGCACUUUUGUAAUACCCUGCUAGCGUGAGACCUAGUGAUGGUUCACAAAGUAACAAAUACUACAGUAAUAGUUUAUAGAAAAGAAAACACUUUUACUGCAAAGGCAAUUUUGCAAAUUUUGGUAGCAAUGAAAUCCAACCAUUCCAAUGCAAUGGACUGCCAUGGAAAAUGUCUGCCACUGGCAAAGGCUCUGGAAAAAAAAAGUAAGUCACUUUUUUAUCAAAAAGGUAGUGAGAUAUCUGUUGGUACAACCUAUGGCUUUUAAUGUGCUGGUAUGUCACUGAGAGUGUCCCUGAUGCACACAGGGGAGGUAAGGGCACUUAGAGGGCAGCUCCACUCAGCUUUCUAGAAAAGUCAAAGGUUCCUGGUUCCACUUGUGGAGUCACUUCAUAUGCAGCAAUUGUAUUACCUUGCAAGAUUGUUUUUGGUGUCAGGGUUUUUCUGGAAGUCAGUGUGCUUCCUAUAGGCCAAGCAGGCCACUGCAGGAAUUUCAUUGUGUUUCCCUUUUUAAUGGAAAUUGCAAAUACAUUUCCAGACACAGCUCUGGAAAUACCCCAACAGCAGCCUCUAUCACCUCUUCAGUGUUUAGGAUUGAGCAGUGCCUGUGUCUCAGCUUUCACCUACAUGGAGUGAAAUGCCUAAAAAUGUUAAGAAAUUGCGUCUGCCUUAAUGUCAUCACUGCUAUCCUACCUAAUAAAUAUUUUCCUAAAAAAACCUCAUUCCUCUCUCUCUGAGGAAGACUAUUUCCAUGGAGGUAAGCAGUGAUAGGUAAGUGGUAUUUGUGUACUUGGUGACAUCUGUUUUAUUGGGCGGAGCACUCGAUAACUUGCAUCACCCUCUGAUUCAUACAAUCAUCUGACCUUCAUCUAACUGCUGCUCUGCUUUUAUUUCCUUUUCUCCUUACGAGUUACAGUAAAGGAAAUUCUUCCUGUGCUCCAUACACAAUGCUUCCUUUCAUUCAAGGUUUGGUUGUGCUUUUAGCAUUUAAAAAAACAACCAGUAUAACCAUCUACUGAAAUAGCACAGGAUCAAGUCACACGUUCCUCUCCCUUCACAUUUAGCCUCCCCACAGAUUACACGCACUCCAGGAGUUGCUGUACUUUGGGCACAGCCUUCUCUCCUGGCUGAAAUCCCAGCUGGGAGAUGCUGCAGCCCCUCAGGGUGGGUCUGUGGGGUUUGCUGUGAGGGUUCCUCCCUGUUGGGUGUAUGGACAAGUAAGCAGGUCUUCCAGGAGGAGUCUAAUUCUGCUGGCUCUGUCUGAUGCUGUACCUUCAGCUCCUGCUCUGCCCUGGUGUGGCUGUUCCUCUGGGUACCCACUUGUGUCCCUCCCUUGCAGCUGAGGAAGGACAGCCAUCUCUCUGGAGCAACUUUCUGAAGCAUGAAGGUAAAAGAAAGUCUGAGCAGGAGCAUCUCAGCUAUCUGAUACAGGAGAGCUUCUGGGUGGUUGGAAGGGCCAUCACAGGCUUGGGACACUGUUAGGAAUCAAUAUCCCUUGACACAGAAUUAUUGUAUGUUACCAAGGGCAGGGUCUCUAGAAGGAAGGGAGGAAAACCACAUUGAGUGGAAGAAGAGUCAUCUGCAGAUCUUUCUAAAGUUAAAAAUAGUUAUGAUUUUGUCUGCAGGAGACAGUUUGUCCUGUUAUGCUGCUGUCAUCAUGUGAGCAGGCUGUAUGCUUCUGCAUUUGAAGACUAAAACUGAAUGCUGAAAACAGGAACUUUCUGGAAAUUCCGCAUGCCUGAAAUGUAAUGGUUUCAGUGAGUUUCCUGAUAUCAUCUCAUCCAUGUGGUUGUGCUUGGAUGGGGGAACUAAACAUGUCAUUAGCUCUGUAGGGUCACUAAAAUUUGAAGAAGAGAUCAUAAGGAAUCUUAAGGAUGCGUGACAUCCUGCGAAGACAGAUGAUAAAAGCAACUACACUUGACAGUGAGCCCUUCAAGGCGAGGCAACCCAGUUAAGAGCAUGGAGGAACUGAGCUCUUGCUAACUCAUGUCAGCAGGAGUUGUUUAUCCCCUCUUCAUCAAAAAAAUCAGACUGACAGCAUUGAAAGUGACUAAAACCAGAGGAUGAUACAGGGAAUUUUGGCCUUCAUAACUUUGCAAUGACUUCACUGAUCAUUCCUGGCUCCCAGACCUGGCCUGAUUCUACUAAACUGUGCAACAUUUAUUCGUAAUCAAAUUAUAGUUUAUACACAGGCACAAAAACACAAACACAGAGACAUGUAUCUUCCUACAAACACAUCAAAUGUCUGCAAACAAAGCUGAAAGCUGACCUGAUGCUGGCUGAAUUGUCACUGUAGUCUAAGCUACAAUAGUAAAAUGCGUGGUUGCAAAGAAUCCUAACAUCAGCAGCAGGAGAAUGGUAAGAAAUGCAGGUCUUUCCCAGCCUUGGUCUCGAUUCAAAUGCUGUAAUAUUUCUUGUAGGAUUUCACAAAUAAGUAGAGUGUAUUUGAUUGCAUAAAACAGUGAAAUUGCCUGUCAGGCGUUUAUUCAGAGUUUCUUAAUCUAGAUGAUUUCCAGUUAAGAGAAAGUCUAGACCGUUGGCCUGUUCUUUGGCAGAAGAGAAGUUUUUUAUUAUUUUUUCACAUGCUCGGAGAAUUACUCAAUUUACUAAAAAAGGGGAAGGACUGAGAUCCUAUUUACUCUAAUUUUUAUAAUAUUUAAACUGGCUGCUCUCUCUAGGCAUACCUUGUGCUUUUACCAGCUCAACAUUGUUGAUCAAAGUGUUCUCCAGUAACAAAUGCCACAGAUACACAGAAUGGUCACAUUGAGUUAUGCAAGUGUUUGGCUUUUUGCCUCUGAAAAUAGCUACUCAGUAGAAAAAUACAAAUCCCGUUGCAUGUUCUCUCUGGGUUAUAACAGGUCACAGACAAAAUCCUCACCGUUUGUGAAAUCUUCUUGCAGUUUAUAGUUGUACAACUUUUUACAUCUGUGAAAAAUUAAUGGAAGUAAUAUAACUGAUACCAAAUUACUGUUGGAGAGUUUCCCAUGCCAAGAUUGAUUGCUCUUUUUGUUACUUAAGUCUUCAUCUUAAUCUGUGCCCAGCCCAUUCUUUUACCCACCUUCCACUUUCUAAUGGUUUUUGGCAUGAUGUUUCUGAUGAGAAAUGAAGAAAAUUUUUCAGUUGAAGCUGUAGCCUGAUUUUAGCAACAAAGAACAUGCAAAUGAAGCAGUCACUAGACUCCAGAUUGCCUGCUGUCAGGGCAGGUUUUCCCCCGCCACCCCCAUCUUUAUUUUUUUCAGGCUUGAGUAUGGAUAUCUGUAUACUGUUUCUGGAUACCUCCAAUAUCUAGACAGGUCCAUAUGUUCUUUUGGGUUUUGUCAACAAAGUGCUGGGACUAGAAUCACAUAUGUGUAGGUUGUGUGUAGCAAAAAUAAAG